Molecule: ribosomal RNA, 406 nt
Filed under: uncultured bacterium
Lineage: Bacteria
Description: partial 16S ribosomal RNA
Rfam family: Bacterial small subunit ribosomal RNA
Source: RNAcentral
AUUGAACGCUGGCGGCAGGCCUAACACAUGCAAGUCGAGCGAGCGGCGGACGGGUGAGUAAUGUCUGGGAAACUGCCUGAUGGAGGGGGAUAACUACUGGAAACGGUAGCUAAUACCGCAUACCAUCAGAUGUUCCCAGAUGGGAUUAGCUAGUAGGGGGGGUAACGGCUCACCUAGGCGACGAGCCCUGGCUGGUCUGAGAGGAUGACCAGCCAAACUGGAACGGAGACACGGUCCAGACUCCUACGGGAGGCAGCAGUGGGAAAUAUGGCACAAUGGGCGAAAUCCUGAUGCAGCCAGGCCGCGUGGGUGAAGAAGGCCUUCGGGUUGUAAAGCACUUUCAGCGGGGAGGCGUUACCCGCAGAAGAAGCACCGGCUAACUCCGUGCCAGCAGCCGCGGUAAUUC